Molecule: ribosomal RNA, 468 nt
Filed under: uncultured bacterium
Lineage: Bacteria
Description: partial 16S ribosomal RNA
Rfam family: Bacterial small subunit ribosomal RNA
Source: RNAcentral
GACGAACGCUGGCGGCGUGCUUAACACAUGCAAGUCGAACGGAAAGGCCCUGCUUUUGUGGGGUGCUCGUUUGGCGAACGGGUGAGUAACACGUGAGUAACCUGCCCUUGACUUUGGGAUAACUUCAGGAAACUGGGGCUAAUACCGGAUAGGAUCUCCUGCUGCAUGGUGGGGGUUGGAAAGUUUCGGCGGUUGGGGAUGGACUCGCGGCUUAUCAGCUUGUUGGUGGGGUAGUGGCUUACCAAGGCUUUGACGGGUAGCCGGCCUGAGAGGGUGACCGGCCACAUUGGGACUGAGAUACGGCCCAGAAGCCUAUGGGAGGCAGCAGUGGGGAAUAUUGCACAAUGGGCGGAAGCCUGAUGCAGCAACGCCGCGUGCGGGAUGACGGCCUUCGGGUUGUAAACCGCUUUCGCCUGUGACGAAGCGUGAGUGACGGUAAUGGGUAAAGAAGCACCGGCUAACUACGUG